GGGGCUGUAGCUCAACUGGAAGAGUGGGGGUCUCAUAAACUCAGGUGGAGGUUCAAAUCCUCCCAGCCCCC
This 71-nucleotide transfer RNA is filed under the name Microcoleus sp. FACHB-831. It matches the Rfam family "tRNA". Rfam says of the family: Transfer RNA (tRNA) molecules are approximately 80 nucleotides in length. Their secondary structure includes four short double-helical elements and three loops (D, anti-codon, and T loops). Further hydrogen bonds mediate the characteristic L-shaped molecular structure. tRNAs have two regions of fundamental functional importance: the anti-codon, which is responsible for specific mRNA codon recognition, and the 3' end, to which the tRNAs corresponding amino acid is attached (by aminoacyl-tRNA synthetases). tRNAs cope with the degeneracy of the genetic code in two manners: having more than one tRNA (with a specific anti-codon) for a particular amino acid; and 'wobble' base-pairing, i.e. permitting non-standard base-pairing at the 3rd anti-codon position. The record is from Rfam by way of RNAcentral. Lineage: Bacteria; Bacillati; Cyanobacteriota; Cyanophyceae; Oscillatoriales; Microcoleaceae.